Long non-coding RNA from Beta vulgaris subsp. vulgaris (sugar beet), 483 nucleotides. RefSeq lists it as uncharacterized. Lineage: Eukaryota; Viridiplantae; Streptophyta; Magnoliopsida; Caryophyllales; Amaranthaceae. The record is from RefSeq and is a predicted model, not a curated record. The transcript has 2 exons.
UACAAUCAUAUAUUUCUCUCUUCUUAUAAACUUAUCAGAAAUACAAAAAAUAAUAAUUUUACAAACUAUAAAUCCGUAAAACAUAACAGCCAAUUCUGUUCUUUCACCAGCAGCGAAACCAACAACAGCAAGAAGUGAAGAACAUGGAAGAACGCGAGAAUCAAAGAAGCGGAAAGCCGGAGACUAAAGGCUAGAGAUUUUUGGUUGGAGGUUAUCUCCAGCCCAAAAUCAAUAGCAAAAUUGUGCAUCAAUAUCUCACGCAUGAAGUUCAUAUUUACUUUCACGAUCCUUAAAUUACUGGGAAACCAGCCUCUGUCACAUCCAUGUCCUCUCCCACGGUCGUUGUAAUUAAUGCGUCCACCCUUGUGUAUAGCAUUCGCUUACGGUAGAUCAGAUGCUUCUAUUGCAUUUCUUUCAUUGGUGGUUGAAGACCCUGUAAGUCUAAGAUUAUGAUUUUUCAAUAAAAGAUUAUUAUUUUGUUCA